Molecule: transfer RNA, 85 nt
Filed under: Thermoleophilia bacterium
Lineage: Bacteria; Bacillati; Actinomycetota; Thermoleophilia
Also listed under: 3 other names
Description: tRNA-Leu
Rfam family: tRNA
About the family: Transfer RNA (tRNA) molecules are approximately 80 nucleotides in length. Their secondary structure includes four short double-helical elements and three loops (D, anti-codon, and T loops).
Source: RNAcentral
GCCGAAGUGGCGGAACUGGAAGACGCGCUGGACUCAAAAUCCAGUGGGGCUUUGCCCCGUGCGGGUUCGAUUCCCGCCUUCGGCA